AAGAAUGAUAAUAUUUCAGUUACGUUGAAAAUGACCUUAAUGGCAUUCUUU
Molecule: transfer RNA, 51 nt
Filed under: Pseudoniphargus elongatus
Lineage: Eukaryota; Metazoa; Arthropoda; Malacostraca; Amphipoda; Allocrangonyctidae
Description: tRNA-Val
Source: RNAcentral